ACUCCUACGGGAGGCAGCAGUAGGGAAUCUUCGGCAAUGGACGAAAGUCUGACCGAGCAACGCCGCGUGAGUGAAGAAGGUUUUCGGAUCGUAAAACUCUGUUGUUAGAGAAGAACAAGGACGUUAGUAACUGAACGUCCCCUGACGGUAUCUAACCAGAAAGCCACGGCUAACUACGUGCCAGCAGCCGCGGUAAU
RNAcentral lists this ribosomal RNA (197 nucleotides) under uncultured bacterium. Its description in RNAcentral is "partial 16S ribosomal RNA". It matches the Rfam family "Bacterial small subunit ribosomal RNA", at positions 335 to 524 of the family's 1533-position model. The record is from RNAcentral.